Molecule: non-coding RNA, 94 nt
Filed under: Phenylobacterium sp.
Lineage: Bacteria; Pseudomonadati; Pseudomonadota; Alphaproteobacteria; Caulobacterales; Caulobacteraceae
Description: Glycine sequence
Rfam family: Glycine riboswitch aptamer
About the family: This family represents the bacterial glycine riboswitch. Glycine riboswitches usually consist of two metabolite-binding aptamers domains with similar structures in tandem. The aptamers cooperatively bind glycine to regulate the expression of downstream genes.
Source: RNAcentral
CCACUCCUCGCGGGAGAGACCGGGACCAUCUGGCCCCGGCGCCGAAGGCGCAACCGCCCCGGAAACGCUCAGGCAAAAGGACCGCGAAGGGCUG